CCCUUAGAUGUUCUGGGCCGCACGCGUGCUACACUGAGUGGAUCAGCGGGUCAGGUUGCGCGAAAGCGUUUCCUAAUCUUUAACUCCGCUCGUGAUGGGGAUUGACGGUUGCAAUUUUCUGUCAUGAACGAGGAAUACCUUGUAAGCGCGGGUCAUCAUCCCGCGCUGAAUACGUCCCUGCCCUUUGUACACACCGCCCGUCGCUCCUACCGAUUGAGUGGUCCGGUGAGGCUUUGGGAUCUGAGCGGAAAGAGCGUUUCGCUGUUUCUGCUCGGAAAACUCAGUCGAACCUUAUCAUUUAGAGGAAGGAGAAGUCGUAACA
RNAcentral lists this ribosomal RNA (322 nucleotides) under uncultured eukaryote. RNAcentral describes it as "partial 18S ribosomal RNA". It matches the Rfam family "Eukaryotic small subunit ribosomal RNA", at positions 1470 to 1796 of the family's 1831-position model. The record is from RNAcentral.